CCGGUGAGGGAGUGAAGGCCUUCGGUUGUAACUCUUUCAGCAGGGACGAAGCGAAAGUGACGGUACCUGCAGAAGAAGCACCGGCCAACUACGUGC
Molecule: ribosomal RNA, 96 nt
Filed under: uncultured bacterium
Lineage: Bacteria
Description: partial 16S ribosomal RNA
Source: RNAcentral